AAUCUUCGGCAAUGGACGGAAGUCUGACCGAGCAACGCCGCGUGAGUGAUGAAGGUCUUCGGAUCGUAAAGCUCUGUUGCCAGGGAAGAAGGGCAAGGAGAGUGACUGCUCUUUGCUUGACGGUACCUGAGAAGAAAGCCCCGGCUAACUACGUGCCAGCAGCCGCGGUAAUACGUAGGGGGCGAGCGUUGUCCGGAAUUAUUGGGCGUAAAGCGCGCGCAGGCGGUUCUUUAAGUCCGGUGUUUAAGCCCGGGGCUCAACCUCGGGACGCACGGGAAACUGGGGGACUGGAGUGCAGGAGAGGGAAGCGGAAUUCCACGUGUAGCGGUGAAAUGCGUAGAGAUGUGGAGGAACACCAGUGGCGAAGGCGGCUUCCUGGCCUGUAACUGACGCUGAGGCGCGAAAGCGUGGGGAGCAAACA
This 421-nucleotide ribosomal RNA is filed under the name uncultured bacterium. RNAcentral's name for it is "partial 16S ribosomal RNA". It matches the Rfam family "Bacterial small subunit ribosomal RNA", at positions 360 to 774 of the family's 1533-position model. The record is from RNAcentral.